RNAcentral lists this ribosomal RNA (465 nucleotides) under uncultured bacterium. Its description in RNAcentral is "partial 16S ribosomal RNA". It matches the Rfam family "Bacterial small subunit ribosomal RNA", at positions 28 to 507 of the family's 1533-position model. The record is from RNAcentral.
GAUGAACGCUGGCGGCGUGCUUAACACAUGCAAGUCGUACGGUAAGGCCCUUUCGGGGGUACACGAGUGGCGAACGGGUGAGUAACACGUGAGUAACCUGCCCACAACUUUGGGAUAACGCUAGGAAACUGGUGCUAAUACUGGAUACGUGCUCCUGCUGCAUGGUGGGGGUUGGAAAGCUCCGGCGGUUGUGGAUGGACUCGCGGCCUAUCAGCUUGUUGGUGGGGUAGUGGCCUACCAAGGCGGCGACGGGUAGCCGGCCUGAGAGGGUGACCGGCCACAUUGGGACUGAGAUACGGCCCAGACUCCUACGGGAGGCAGCAGUGGGGAAUAUUGCACAAUGGGCGCAAGCCUGAUGCAGCAACGCCGCGUGCGGGAUGACGGCCUUCGGGUUGUAAACCGCUUUCAGCAGGGACGAAGCUUUUUGUGACGGUACCUGCAGAAGAAGCACCGGCUAACUACGUG